UACGGGGGGGGGCAAGCGUUGUUCGGAAUUACUGGGCGUAAAGGGCUCGUAGGCGGCCAACUAAGUCAGACGUGAAAUCCCUCGGCUUAACCGGGGAACUGCAUCUGAUACUGGAUGGCUUGAGUUCGGGAGAGGGAUGCGGAAUUCCAGGUGUAGCGGUGAAAUGCGUAGAUAUCUGGAGGAACACCGGUGGCGAAGGCGGCAUCCUGGACCGGCACUGACGCUGAGGAGCGAAAGCCAGGGGAGCAAACGGGG
Molecule: ribosomal RNA, 255 nt
Filed under: uncultured bacterium
Lineage: Bacteria
Description: partial 16S ribosomal RNA
Rfam family: Bacterial small subunit ribosomal RNA
Source: RNAcentral